RNAcentral lists this long non-coding RNA (666 nucleotides) under Equus caballus (horse). Its description in RNAcentral is "lncRNA (ENSECAG00000059796.1)". The record is from RNAcentral. Lineage: Eukaryota; Metazoa; Chordata; Mammalia; Perissodactyla; Equidae.
UCUUAUCAAUCUCUUCUACACAGUUUCGAGAUAUCUCUGGAAGCCUAGUACUGGUUUUUUCCUAAGCUGCAAUCAAAUGGAAGAGCCCCUGGCAAAAUCUGACUACUGGAGCCAUUCCAAUGGAAAGAGACACUGGAGCUCUCUCUCUCCACCAUGUGAGGACACAGGGAGAAGGCAGCCAUCUGCAAGCCAAGAAGAGAGCUCUCAGCAAGAAUGGAAUCAGCCAGCACCUUGAUCUUGGACUUCCCAGCCUCCAGAACUGUAAUCUACAUUUCACUGUAUGAUCUAUUCUUCCAUUUAAAAGAAGAGUUUGCCAGGAAAGCCGCUGUCUCAAGAAUAUCGAGGAGCGGAUGCUUUCCAGACCUCAACUCCUCACUCCCGGCGCUUGAACCCGCCUCAAACAGGAAGACGAGACAAGAGACAACGGCGAAGGAUGCCCACCUGCCAUCCUCCUAUCUCACCCUCCCCCGCGGCCUUGCUGCAAGCAGCCUCUCAACGCCAAACUCAGGCUGGUGGGAAAGCACCCACCUGCACAAGCUACAUGCGCCCCCUCCCCUACCCAAAACCCCAAAUAAAAAUCCCUACCCAUUCCUCAUCGGGGAGCUAGCAAUUUUUGAGGCAUGAGCCCUUGCUUUGCUCCCUGUGCCUGGCAUAGUAAAAACCUUU